This 343-nucleotide ribosomal RNA is filed under the name uncultured bacterium. RNAcentral describes it as "bacterial SSU rRNA". It matches the Rfam family "Bacterial small subunit ribosomal RNA", at positions 138 to 507 of the family's 1533-position model. The record is from RNAcentral.
UGGGAAUAACUGCUACGAAAGAGUAGCUAACUACCCCAUAGUAUCCGGUUUAUCCGGAUUAAAGAUUUUAUCGCUUUGGGAGGGCCUGCGUCUGAUUAGCUAGUUGGUGAGGUAAAAGCUCACCAAGGCGACGAUCAGUAGCUGGUUCGAGAGGAUGACCAGCCACACUGGGACUGAGAUACGGCCCAGACUCCUACGGGAGGCAGCAGUGAGGAAUUUUCCACAAUGGCGCAAGCCUGAUGGAGCAAUACCGCGUGCAGGAAGACGCUUUUCGGAGUGUAAACUGCUUUUGCCGUCGAAGAUUAUGACUGUAGACGAAGAAUAAGGACCGGCUAACUACGUG